Molecule: unclassified non-coding RNA, 280 nt
Filed under: Hevea brasiliensis (rubber tree)
Lineage: Eukaryota; Viridiplantae; Streptophyta; Magnoliopsida; Malpighiales; Euphorbiaceae
Source: RNAcentral
CUCCAGGAUCUUGUUCUUCUUCCCAUAAUUUUCCUUUACCCAUUGACGACGAAGAUUCGCCUCUAUUGUCACCGGAGUUAGUAUUAUAAGCACCAGUGCCGCCAACAACACCGCAGCUUUCUUGGUGAUCUCUCUUCAUCUUCGCUUCUUUUGUUGCAAAGACCAAUCACGGAGACAUAGGGCUUAUUGGCUCGCUUUGUUUUUUCGUUUUAUAUUCUUAGACAAAAAAUACUGAGAGAAUAAUUGGACGUAGAGGAGAUGGGUGUGAGGUCCAGUGGAG